AACGCUGGCGGCGUGCCUAAUACAUGCAAGUCGAGCGAACGGACGAGAAGCUUGCUUCUCUGAUGUUAGCGGCGGACGGGUGAGUAACACGUGGAUAACCUACCUAUAAGACUGGGAUAACUUCGGGAAACCGGAGCUAAUACCGGAUAAUAUUUUGAACCGCAUGGUUCAAAAGUGAAAGACGGUCUUGCUGUCACUUAUAGAUGGAUCCGCGCUGCAUUAGCUAGUUGGUAAGGUAACGGCUUACCAAGGCAACGAUGCAUAGCCGACCUGAGAGGGUGAUCGGCCACACUGGAACUGAGACACGGUCCAGACUCCUACGGGAGGCAGCAGUAGGGAAUCUUCCGCAAUGGGCGAAAGCCUGACGGAGCAACGCCGCGUGAGUGAUGAAGGUCUUCGGAUCGUAAAACUCUGUUAUUAGGGAAGAACAUAUGUGUAAGUAACUGUGCACAUCUUGACGGUACCUAAUCAGAAAGCCACGGCUAACUACGUGCCAGCAGCCGCGGUAAUACGUAGGUGGCAAGCGUUAUCCGGAAUUAUUGGGCGUAAAGCGCGCGUAGGCGGUUUUUUAAGUCUGAUGUGAAAGCCCACGGCUCAACCGUGGAGGGUCAUUGGAAACUGGAAAACUUGAGUGCAGAAGAGGAAAGUGGAAUUCCAUGUGUAGCGGUGAAAUGCGCAGAGAUAUGGAGGAACACCAGUGGCGAAGGCGACUUUCUGGUCUGUAACUGACGCUGAUGUGCGAAAGCGUGGGGAUCAAACAGGAUUAGAUACCCUGGUAGUCCACGCCGUAAACGAUGAGUGCUAAGUGUUAGGGGGUUUCCGCCCCUUAGUGCUGCAGCUAACGCAUUAAGCACUCCGCCUGGGGAGUACGACCGCAAGG
RNAcentral lists this ribosomal RNA (880 nucleotides) under Staphylococcus aureus. RNAcentral describes it as "bacterial SSU rRNA". It matches the Rfam family "Bacterial small subunit ribosomal RNA", at positions 32 to 893 of the family's 1533-position model. Lineage: Bacteria; Bacillati; Bacillota; Bacilli; Caryophanales; Staphylococcaceae. The record is from RNAcentral.